UGAUCAGAAUGAAAGAGCAUUUGCAGAACGCCGUGUAGACGAUCUUCCAUGGUACUACAUCUGUCCCAUCUUCGCAGGGACGAGAACCUUCCGGCGAGCCGCGCCUGCUACACGACGUCCAAACACAAAGCCAAAUUCGGGACCAGGUUCGGAACGGACAUCGGAAAGCAGGAGUGAACCUCCAAAAGCGACCUGGCUGCUAAGCAGUGCACUACAGACAAGGACACCAGAGUGCGAGAACAAGAUCGACACGGGUACGGCGAAGACACGCAGUUCAUCGCAGCCGUGACAGAUGGCGCCACUAUUCCGGGGCAGUCGAAUUGACAUUUUUCGAGUGACGUCACCGCCGAGGACACCUGCUACAGAUUGACUGUGGACGUAACCGGAGUUCGGUUCUCGAGCCGUUUUCCAUGUGAGUCCCGGAGCCACCAGACGUCCUCAUAUUGCCAGCUGAAGCAGGUGUGCGUGGAGUUGGAUCCUCGAGCCAAUGUCCCGUGUUAGUCGCGGCGCCGCCAGACCAUCGAGGCCGUCCCCCAAGCAACAAGGCGAUGGUGAGAAGCUCCAGCCGCAGGGGACGCCGCUGUCAUCCAGGGGUGCCGGUUCGAUAUCAGGGCCAAAAUAACGCGAUUGGCGGGAGUCUGGUUCUUCCCCGGGCACCAGGCCGAGUCCCGUGAAAAAGUUGGGUCCCGGCUACAGACCCGGCAAGGCGGCGCGAAUGCAGCGAAAGACGGCAGCUUAGACGGCCACUGUUUCGGGGAUUCCUCGCCGCCGCCGCUGCUCGCAGGAGGACGUGUCCCUGCAGAGUAGAACACUGGCGAACAUCACUGCCUCAGUGGUGGAGAAAGCGAGGACGAGGACGACGAGGGUGCUCCGGCCACCGACGCCUGAGGACGGAGUGGCACUGUGAUGGAGGUUGACCCUGUGCAGUUAUUCUCAAGUGCGUCCGAUGAGAUGGUGAAGUCAGCUUCGGCAUCGGUACAGACGAUAGCAUCGACCUGCGUCGUAUUUAGCGAUCCUGGCCAGCAGUCCGGACACGACUCGUCUUCUUCGUGAAGACGACUCUGCUGGUUUCGUGCUCUGGACCGCUACGACACGCCACUCGUGUUAAACAAUGGAGCUUAUUAGAACUUUAAGUUAAUUUUUAUCUGGACACUCUGGGCUUCCAUAUCCUUUGUUACCGCACCGUUUCAAAGAGAUGCCAAUAAAUCAUGAUCUAUUUGAGGUGGAGGCCUUAGGGGAGGAACGUUCUAGAACACGUGGUAAGUAUACUUAUGCUUGGUCUUAACCCUCAUUAGUCGGGAAAGCCUCACGAAAGUUUCUGUGGCACCCAAAGACAGCGGAGAUGGGGGUGUCCGACUGUAGCCACAGGGCUCUUUUCAAGUGUGCGUAAAUAACUCCUGUCCUCUCUUUCCCUUCCUCAUCCCGCUCCCCAGGAAUAGAGUAACAAACGAGACUAAGUCCAAAUUACUUACCUGCGUUUCCUUCUUUUCUGUAUCGAAAGUAAUCUGCAGAGCAGGUAAUAAAGUUACAUGAU
This is a long non-coding RNA of Dermacentor silvarum, 1534 nucleotides long. RefSeq lists it as uncharacterized. NCBI's taxonomy places the organism in Eukaryota, Metazoa, Arthropoda, Arachnida, Ixodida, Ixodidae. The transcript is spliced from 5 exons. The record is from RefSeq and is a predicted model, not a curated record.